GUCAGGAUGGCUGAGCGGUCUAAGGCGCUGCGUUCAAGUCGCAGUCCACUUGUGUGGACGUGGAUCGAAUCCUACUUUUGACA
Trichonephila clavipes is the source of this 83-nucleotide non-coding RNA. NCBI's taxonomy places the organism in Eukaryota, Metazoa, Arthropoda, Arachnida, Araneae, Nephilidae. The record is from the annotation of a GenBank genome assembly.